UUACCAAAAUCAGGAUUACCUUUAAUCAUUAAUGACCAAAAAAAUUUUUUCUUACAUUUUGUUGGUUUCUAUACUCUUUCAUGCAUGCCUCCUCUUGGCCCUGAUAUCUUUCGGGCCACGUUAUCAUCAUGAUAUUUGAUCCAUGGGAUGUCUGAAGGUGACAUUUCUGUGUUUAUAUAUGAUAAAAUACUGAAAUUUUUUUCUCUUAUUGUUUUUCUAAUAUUGGAAUCUGCAUUAUCUUUCACAGAAAUAAUGGUAUCUUAUAAACUUCUAAAUUAAUCGUUCUUAUUUAUUUGCAGCUCCAACUGUGCAGUUGA
RNAcentral lists this unclassified non-coding RNA (317 nucleotides) under Hevea brasiliensis (rubber tree). Lineage: Eukaryota; Viridiplantae; Streptophyta; Magnoliopsida; Malpighiales; Euphorbiaceae. The record is from RNAcentral.